CGCACGCAGGCGGUCUGUCAAGUCGGAUGUGAAAUCCCCGGGCUCAACCUGGGAACUGCAUUCGAAACUGGCAGGCUAGAGUCUUGUAGAGGGGGGUAGAAUUCCAGGUGUAGCGGUGAAAUGCGUAGAGAUCUGGAGGAAUACCGGUGGCGAAGGCGGCCCCCUGGACAAAGACUGACGCUCAGGUGCGAAAGCGUGGGGAGCAAACAGGAUUA
This 215-nucleotide ribosomal RNA is filed under the name bacterium. Its description in RNAcentral is "partial 16S ribosomal RNA". It matches the Rfam family "Bacterial small subunit ribosomal RNA", at positions 567 to 780 of the family's 1533-position model. The record is from RNAcentral.